UCGAGGAUCUUCGGCAAUGGGCGCAAGCCUGACCGAGCGACGCCGCGUGUGCGAUGAAGGCCUUCGGGUUGUAAAGCACUGUCGAGGGGGAGGAAAGCCCGCAAGGGUCUGACCUAGCCCUGGAGGAAGCACGGGCUAAGUUCGUGCCAGCAGCCGCGGUAAGACGAACCGUGCGAACGUUGUUCGGAAUCACUGGGCUUAAAGGGCGCGUAGGCGGCUUGUCCAGUCGGGGGUGAAAUCUUUCGGCUCAACCGGAAAAGUGCCCCCGAUACUGACAGGCUCGAGCGAGGUAGGGGCAGGGGGAACUUCCGGUGGAGCGGUGAAAUGCGUUGAUAUCGGAAGGAACGCCGGUGGCGAAAGCGCCCUGCUGGACCUCAUCUGACGCUGAGGCGCGAAAGCCAGGGGAGCAAACGGGAUUAGAUACCCCUGUAGUCC
RNAcentral lists this ribosomal RNA (435 nucleotides) under uncultured bacterium. Its description in RNAcentral is "bacterial SSU rRNA". It matches the Rfam family "Bacterial small subunit ribosomal RNA", at positions 355 to 796 of the family's 1533-position model. The record is from RNAcentral.